Molecule: microRNA precursor, 72 nt
Organism: Bos grunniens (domestic yak)
Lineage: Eukaryota; Metazoa; Chordata; Mammalia; Artiodactyla; Bovidae
Source: Ensembl
AAGCAAAGGUUUUUUGGUUUUGUUUUCUGUAACAAGUUUGCAGAGAACGAUACUAAAGCAGGCACCUAGCUU